RNAcentral lists this ribosomal RNA (495 nucleotides) under uncultured bacterium. RNAcentral describes it as "partial 16S ribosomal RNA". It matches the Rfam family "Bacterial small subunit ribosomal RNA", at positions 28 to 507 of the family's 1533-position model. The record is from RNAcentral.
GACGAACGCUGGCGGCGUGCCUAAUACAUGCAAGUAGAACGCUGAAGGAGGAGCUUGCUUCUCCGGAUGAGUUGCGAACGGGUGAGUAACGCGUAGGUAACCUGCCUGGUAGCGGGGGAUAACUAUUGGAAACGAUAGCUAAUACCGCAUAACAGUAGAUGUUGCAUGACAUUUGCUUAAAAGGUGCAGUUGCAUCACUACCAGAUGGACCUGCGUUGUAUUAGCUAGUUGGUGAGGUAACGGCUCACCAAGGCGACGAUACAUAGCCGACCUGAGAGGGUGAUCGGCCACACUGGGACUGAGACACGGCCCAGACUCCUACGGGAGGCAGCAGUAGGGAAUCUUCGGCAAUGGACGGAAGUCUGACCGAGCAACGCCGCGUGAGUGAAGAAGGUUUUCGGAUCGUAAAGCUCUGUUGUAAGAGAAGAACGAGUGUGAGAGUGGAAAGUUCACACUGUGACGGUAUCUUACCAGAAAGGGACGGCUAACUACGUG